This is a non-coding RNA of Taeniopygia guttata (zebra finch), 267 nucleotides long. The record is from RefSeq and is a predicted model, not a curated record. NCBI's taxonomy places the organism in Eukaryota, Metazoa, Chordata, Aves, Passeriformes, Estrildidae.
AUAAACGCAGAGUACAUGGGGGUGGAUUUUGUGGAAAUUGUCCAAUUUUGUUCUGUGUUGUGAUGAAGUUAUCUUGGUUUUUGUGUGGGAAGCUUUAGUUUAUUUUGGCUGGUUUUGUUGUUCUAAGUGAAGGUUGUGUGAUGAAUGUGAAUUUUAAAGAUAAUUCUUAAAUAUUAAGAAUUCACAGAGGCGAGGGGUAGAAGUAAUACAAUUGCUCAAAAACCCAGCACUUCUAGACAGAAAAAUUAAAUAAAAUGUAUUAGGAAA